UGGAAACGGCUUCUCUUGAACCCUUC
Molecule: non-coding RNA, 26 nt
Filed under: Mus musculus (house mouse)
Lineage: Eukaryota; Metazoa; Chordata; Mammalia; Rodentia; Muridae
Source: RNAcentral